AUGGCCGCCAAGGACCCUUUGUAUCUUGAGACCACUACUCUCCUUAAUCAAGAGAUCCAGCAAAAGGAGCUUCGCUUCAAACUCUACUUGUUCCAGCACACUCAAGGCGAGCGAAACAGGAACGAGCGUGCUGUAUUGUCUAUGCAUGCCCCCCAUGAGUUUGGCUCCAUUGUCGUUCAUGACUGGACCAUACGGGAUGGUCCUAACCUCCAAGAUAAAAUUGUUGCGAACGCCCAAGGCAUGCAUCUCGGGGCCGGUAUGAACGAAACAAACUGGUUUACCAGUUUCAACAUAAUUUUCGCUGACGAGAGGUUCAAGGGAUCCACUCUUCAGGUGCUCGGAACUACGAGCAUAAGUGACAGUGAAUGGGCGAUAACUGGGGGCACCGGAGAGUUUGCCUUUGCACAGGGUGUUGCCACUCACAUAAAAAGCGAAGAAUAUGGUGAUGCUGGCCGUGUCUGGGAGCUCCAAAUCCGUGCUACGUGCCUCACCUUCCCCAAACCAGUCCUUGUAACCAAGAUUGGACCAUGGGGUGGGAAUGGAGGAAAAGAAUUUGACAUCCCAGAGUCGGUACCUCAACGGCUAGAAAGUGUGACAAUUAGAAGUGGUGUUGCCAUUGACUCAAUUGCGUUCUCCUACAUUAAUCAAGCUGGAAAGAAGCAAACUCUUGGUCCAUGGGGUGGCGAUGGUGAACUUACUGACACGAUCACUUUUGCCCCUUUAGAGAUUGUGAAGGAAGUUUCAGGAACAAGCGGUACUUUCGGUGGAGAUACUGUUGUGACAUCGCUUACUUUUGUCACAAAUGUGAGGACAUAUGGACCUUUUGGAAAACCAAAUGGUACUGCUUUCAGUGCCCCUCUUACGGACACUAACGUCGUGGGCUUCUUCGUGCAUGCUGGAAGACUUGUUAAUGCGGUUGGAGUUUAUGCGCGCCCUUCUGUUCAAAAUUAUUAG
Molecule: ribosomal RNA, 954 nt
Filed under: Triticum aestivum (bread wheat)
Lineage: Eukaryota; Viridiplantae; Streptophyta; Magnoliopsida; Poales; Poaceae
Description: partial small subunit ribosomal RNA
Source: RNAcentral